Molecule: long non-coding RNA, 473 nt
Organism: Bufo bufo (common toad)
Lineage: Eukaryota; Metazoa; Chordata; Amphibia; Anura; Bufonidae
Exons: 3
Source: RefSeq, a predicted model, not a curated record
ACAGGGUUACAUGCACAAACUUACACUACAUUCUAUUCUAAGGCAUUGUGGGGGAGAUACAACACCAGGGCAGUUAUUGGCACAAAUGGAAUAUGUUGUGUUCCCGCUGCAGAGUCUGCACUUAUCCUUUUCCACACAUUCACCCCAGAUAUUUUAUACAGUGCCAUUUGGGCAGAAACAACCUGGAACACACAUAUAAUUGCAUGCAGGAUUAGGGUUAUCGCAGGUUGGUGGACAGUUGCUUCCAAAAUCAGUAUAUACUUUGCCAUCUGUACAGUCUGCAAAAGAAGAAUUAAGAACAAGUUAAAAGAAUGUCUGGGAUUAGGAAAACAUGGCUGCUUCCUUCCAAAAGUGUAGUGCCACGCCUUUCCAGAUAAUGUUUGUAGUAUCGGCUCUAUUCCAUGGACAGGAGGGGGCGCUGUUUCUUAAAGCAGCCUUUGUUUUAUAGGAUCAGUCGGACCCUUGGCUGUUGA